This 153-nucleotide ribosomal RNA is filed under the name Cornus hongkongensis. RNAcentral describes it as "partial 5.8S ribosomal RNA". It matches the Rfam family "5.8S ribosomal RNA". Rfam says of the family: 5.8S ribosomal RNA (5.8S rRNA) is a component of the large subunit of the eukaryotic ribosome. It is transcribed by RNA polymerase I as part of the 45S precursor that also contains 18S and 28S rRNA. Lineage: Eukaryota; Viridiplantae; Streptophyta; Magnoliopsida; Cornales; Cornaceae. The record is from RNAcentral.
GACUCUCGACAACGGAUAUCUCCUCUCGCAUCGAUGAAGAGCGUAGUGAAAUGCGAUACUUGGUGUGAAUUGCAGAAUCCCGUGAACCAUCGAGUCUUUGAACGCAAGUUGCGCCCGAAGCCAUCCGGCCGAGGGCACGUCUGCCUGGGCGUC